UGGGCAAUGGAUUGAUGGCAUGACAAUCCAGUUGUCCACCCAUAUUUUAUAAAGGGUGCAACGACAAACCACUACACCCCAACGAAUCAAAAAAAAACAAGCAAAACGGCACCUGGGCAUGGCUAAACAUACUUGGCACUAUGUUUACCCCCUUUUCAGUGCCCAGGUGUCUCCAUUAUUAACUCCCCCAUAAAAGAAAACAAAAAAAAACUUAGUGAACACGGCGGUCACGAGAGGCAUUACAGUGGCCUGCCCAUCCGGGAGUGUUCAUUAUAGCUACCGCUGGCUUCCCCAACUCUAGCGCAUACUGGAAGCUAGUGGUUUUUCAUGGUUGGUGGCCACCAUGUAGGCGAAAAGGCCACUUUCUAAGGCCCUUCCACGUAAAUUUUUUUUUUGCUGUCGACUUGGGAUUUUUCGUUUACAAGGCCCGCAACAAAACUCCAGGGCUGACAAGGCCCGAAGGCAGGACUGGUGUGCGGGCUGUAUCGAACUAUGUGACGUCCGGGAUCAAGCCCAACGUGGGGAACUCUCACACCCUGAGAUUAAGCCGGGCUCUGAGUUUACUUUUAAUUUAGGGAAGUAUUUUUUUUUUCUAUCACAUAAGUCCUUACUUGGUGUGUAUUUACAGGUCAGUCGACUGGGUAAAAAAAAAUUGGAACAGAAAUCUGGUCACUCAUGCGCGAAUAAGUCGGAAGAUUACGUUGUAAAAUCUUAUUGGAGGUAUAGUUCGGGCGUAGAUGCAUAAUUACGAGGUAGGGUAUAAAUCAUUAAAUAAUCACUUCUAUAUGAAAAUCAGGUACAUUUGGGUAUAUCACAGACGUAAUGUAUAUUGCACUAUAGAGGUAAAUAUAUGAAUGGGACAAGCACAACAUGUAAUUAAGUCAACCUAAUUCUAAUAAUGCACUUGUCUAUCACGGAAUUUAAAUCUAUAUUGCACUAAUACUUUAUGUCUUUGACAUGGUAAAUACCAAUGGAUUUUCCUUGCAUAUCCUCGAGUUCAUACAUGUUUUGUCCAACGGGCUUGACAAUUCGGGCUUUAACAAAUUUUUUGCAGAAUUUUGAAUUAAUAUUUUUCGAAAAGUCGGAUAAGACGGUAUUUCGCCGGUAGACUUCUUGUCCAGGUCGAAAUUUACACACCCUUGCACGUUUAUUAUAUUUUUCAGAACUUUUUAUGUAAACUCGAUGUAAAUUUUCUUUUAUAUUGGCUCUUAUGAGUUCUAGCUUACUUGGUCUAUCCAUAUUACUGAGCUCAUGGUCGGUUAAGGAUUUCAAUUUCCUUGCCAAGCUAUAAUCCUGUCCAUUUGAGUACAUAUGAAAGCCAAACAACGCAAAGAACGGCGUAACCCCAGUCGAAGUGUGUAUAGAAUUUCUCAAUGCACAUUCUAUUUCGGAUAAAUACAUAUCCCAGUCUCUAUGAUCUUUAUCGAGAUAUGCCCGAAUGGCACAAAUUACCGACUGGUUCACACGUUCCGAUGCGUUGGACUGUGGCGAAUAUAUGGCUGUUUUCAUAUGAUUUAUUUGAUAAGUUUCCAUCAGCUCUUUGAACAUUUUGGAGGUAAACUGCGCCCCAUUAUCGCUGUGGAUCACUUCGGGGACACCAAAUUUAUAAAAAAUUUCAUCGACAAGGAAUUUUAUCACGUUGCCGACGGUUGCCUCCCUCAUUGCUUUGAGAAAGGUGAAUUUAGUGAAGUGAUCCACAACGAUGAAAAUGUAUGCAUUACCUUUUUUCGAUCUUGGGUAUUUUCCUAAAAAAUCUAUAUACAGCUUUUGGAACGGCCUAUCAGUUACUACCUCCUUUCCUAUACUGGGCAUCAUAUGCUGAUUGCUAGCUUUGGUUUCCUUACAAACCUGACAGUUCCUUACGUAUUCACGCACUUGAACGGUCAUUCGAGGCCAAUAGAAGAAUCGUCUUAUACGUUCAAGGGUCUUUAUUAUCCCGCCAUGUGCAGACGUCAUAGAAUUAUGGGCUUUUUUUAUUAUUUCCGAGGUUAUACUUGAGGGAAUCCAUAACCUCCAUGUGAGUUCCUCAUUUUCUUCCAAGCUAGGUAGUACCUUUUUAAAAACAUACCCAUCUUCUACUUUUAAAUCUGGCAACUUUUCUUGGUUGUCGGUAACAGUUUUAAUGAGAUCAAGAUAUUCUUGACUCUCGAAUUCCAGGGUUUCAAAAUCUAAGUAGUCAUUUUUCGUGAUUUCGCUAACAUUGGCAACUGGAGCCCUCGACAACAUGUCCGCUACAACAUUCUCGCUUCCUUUCCGGUGUUCUAUAUUAAAAUUAAAUGCCUGCAAUUGUAAUGACCACCUAGCUAGUCUUCCCGUUAAAUCCUUUAAGGACAUAAGCCAUUUUAAAGAAGCGUGGUCCGUUAUUACAGUGAAUGGCAUCAAUUCCACAUAUGGUCGAAACUUUUUGAUAGCCAUCACUGCAGCUAGACAUUCUUUUUCUGUCACGCUAUAAUUGCGUUGACAGGAAUUUAACUUUUGCGAAUAAAACGCUAUGGGGUGUUCUUCCCCCUUAUUAUUUAGUUGAUAUAGCACAGCCCCAAUUCCACAUUCCGAAGCAUCGCAUUGAAUGUAGAAAUGUUUUGAAAAAUCCGCAUGGCGAAGGACUGGGGCAGAUGUUAAAGCCUUUUUUAAUGCUUCAAAAGCUUUUCUAGCUUCCUCCGUGAUUUUAAAGUUCUUACUCUUUUUUAGGGUAUCGGUAAGUGGAGCGGAGAUGGUGGCAAAAUCUUUAAUGAAACGCCUAUACCAUCCCGCUGUCCCUAAGAAGCUUCUAACUUCUCUAGCGCUACGUGGUUCUGCGAUCUUUUUAAUGGCUUUUACCUUGUCUGGGUCCGUCUUUAGUUUUCCAUCGCCAAUGAUAAAUCCCAAAUACCUCAGUUCGCGGAAACAGAACUGGGAUUUCUUAAGCCCUAUCGUUAGAUUUGCUUUCUUUAAGCACUCUGCUACUUCCCAUAAUAGACGCAAAUGUUCGUCAAAAUCACUAGAGAUGACCAGCAAGUCGUCUAAAUAAAUGAAAACGUUUUCUUUCAGGUGUGACGGUAUAACUUUGUCCAUCAACCUACAUAAGCGUUGGGCCGCGUUACAAAGACCGAACGGCAUCACCCUAAAUUGAUAUAACGGGCGACCAGGGACUGUAAACGCUGUGUAUGCUUUGCUUUCAUCAUCUAAUUCUAUCUGCCAAAAUGCAAACUUUAAAUCAACACUGCUGAUGUAGUAUGUCUCGUCGAUUCUGCUUAAGAUGCCCUCAAUAUUUUGGAGCGGAUACGCAUCCUUCACGGAGGUUUUUUUCGGAGAGGAGUGGUGUGUGCGGUUGCAGGCUAUUAUGGCCUUUAUGGAACUGAUGGAUCAAUCAAACCUUAACACAAAAUUAAAAUAAAAAAACAACAAUUUAAUACGUGCACUAUAACGCCUCCCACCGAAGACGUUACAGUUUUCCCAGAUCAUCUAAACGGAUACAUCUGUCCUCUGGUUAAAUCCAGAGCGGAUACCCUGUUAAUGAAUCUGUGUCACUUUUAAAUUUCAAACGGAUACUAUUCUCUACCAUCUAUCCAAGAUAAUUUGUGCGAAACCGCUUAACCUUCUGAUCGGCGGGUCACAAACUAUCUUGGUCUGUAUUUUUCAUUACAUACUUUCCAUGUAAAACACGGGCUCCAAACGUUUUUGUACAUCAAGUUCUGGCACCUGUCCAGAAUGGCUACAAAAACCCUUUGAAUUCGUCGUUCCAAACGCAAAGUAGUAAUGUUGGUCUAUUUUCUUUUACUUCUAGUGGUCUAUUUCCAAGUGUCUCGAUGGAAUACACUUCCUAACUUCUACAAACCCUAUGGUUUCUUUGGUUUGGGCGCCAUAUUGUUAUGUGUCCCUCUUAGGCAGCCUGAGAUGUCUUGAUAUCGCCGACCAGCUCUGCCGACUCCCAUUGGGGUGAGUCCCAUCCCAACAUCCGGCUCAGGAACAACAACAAUAAACUAUGGGAAUUCACCAACAAAAGAACAACACUAUAAUGAUGAACAUGAUACCAUCCAAAUCCAUAACGUCUGUUGACACACGAGCCAUUUAGCCGCCCUCCCUACCUUUGAUCAUCUCUUCCUUUUAUUGUCCUGAUGACCCCUUUUUCCGCACAAUCCCACACCACUUACCUCCCUUUUAUUCCCUCCUUAAUAACUCUUUAACACAUCCUCAUUUUUUCUUUCUUUAAACA
Musca domestica (house fly) is the source of this 4192-nucleotide long non-coding RNA. RefSeq lists it as uncharacterized. The record is from RefSeq and is a predicted model, not a curated record. NCBI's taxonomy places the organism in Eukaryota, Metazoa, Arthropoda, Insecta, Diptera, Muscidae. The transcript has 3 exons.